RNAcentral lists this RNase P RNA (336 nucleotides) under uncultured Pseudoruminococcus sp. RNAcentral describes it as "Bacterial RNase P class A". It matches the Rfam family "Bacterial RNase P class A". From Rfam's summary of the family: Ribonuclease P (RNase P) is a ubiquitous endoribonuclease, found in archaea, bacteria and eukarya as well as chloroplasts and mitochondria. The record is from RNAcentral. Lineage: Bacteria; Bacillati; Bacillota; Clostridia; Eubacteriales; Acutalibacteraceae.
AGCGGACGCCACUGCCGAAAGGCCGGCGUCUGAGGAAAGUCCGAGCACCACAGAGCAGGGCAGCGGCUAACGGCCGCCGAAGGCGACUUCAGGGCAAGUGCAACAGAGAGAUACCGCCGCCCUUUGGGGCGGUAAGGGUGGAAAGGCGAGGUAAGAGCUCACCGGCGCAUGGGAGACCAUGCGGCCAUGUAAACCCUACCCGGUGCAACACCGUAUUAAGAAAACAGUUUUGCGUCUGCUCGGCGCGUUUUCGACAAGGUGGCUGGAGCUGUACUGGCAACAGGCAGCCAAGAAAGAUUGUCAUCGAAUACAGAACUCGGCUUACAGAUUUGCUCA